Long non-coding RNA from Carya illinoinensis, 451 nucleotides. RefSeq lists it as uncharacterized. NCBI's taxonomy places the organism in Eukaryota, Viridiplantae, Streptophyta, Magnoliopsida, Fagales, Juglandaceae. The transcript is spliced from 2 exons. The record is from RefSeq and is a predicted model, not a curated record.
AGGAUGCUAGGGGAAAUGAUGUUGAUCUUAGCCAGUAUAAGGGGAAGAUGCUCUUGAUGGUCAAUGUCUCAUCCCAAUGGUGGAUGUGAAUGGUAAAGAAGCUGCUCCGUUGUACAAGUUCUUGAAGUCUAGCAAUGGUGGGCCUAUUUGGAGACAAUAUAAAGUGGAAUUUUUCUAAAUUCCUGGUCGAUAAAGAUGGGAAUGUUGUUGACCGUUAUGCAAAGGUGGCCAUAGAAAAAAUGAAGCCAUAGCUUGUUUUGUAAUGGACUUUUGUUUUUGUACUGGACUUUUGCAUUUGUAUUGGACAUGCCACUAAGUAAUUAUUCUAACAUAUUUUGGUGUAUUGAGAAGUUGUACAUGUCUAUCUCGAACUUUGUUGGAGCUUGGAGUUGUAAAUAUGUGUAGCUCUAGUUUUGGUAAUUUGACAAGUUCUACUAGACUUUUGCAUCUA